CCUACGGGGGGCAGCAGUGAGGAAUAUUGGUCAAUGGGCGAGAGCCUGAACCAGCCAAGUCGCGUGAAGGAUGACUGCCCUACGGGUUGUAAACCUCUUUUAUAAAGGAAUAAAGUGCGGAACGUGUGGCAUGUGGUAGGUACUGUAUGAAUAACGAUCGGCAAACUCCGUGCCAGCAGCCGCGGUAAUACGGAGGAGCCGGGCGUUAUCCCGAUUUAUUGGGUUUAAAGGGUGAGUCGAUGGGUUAUUAAGUCCGAGGUUAAAGUUGGCGGCCCAACCCUAAAAUUGCCAUUGAAACUGGCGACCUUGAGUACGGUAGAGGUAUGCGGAAUUCGUGGUGUAGCGGUGAAAUGCAUAGAUAUCACGAAGAACUCCGAUUGCGAAGGCAGCUUACUA
Molecule: ribosomal RNA, 396 nt
Filed under: uncultured bacterium
Lineage: Bacteria
Description: partial 16S ribosomal RNA
Rfam family: Bacterial small subunit ribosomal RNA
Source: RNAcentral